Molecule: ribosomal RNA, 241 nt
Filed under: uncultured bacterium
Lineage: Bacteria
Description: partial 16S ribosomal RNA
Rfam family: Bacterial small subunit ribosomal RNA
Source: RNAcentral
GAUCAUGGCUCAGGAUGAACGCUAGCUACAGGCUUAACACAUGCAAGUCGAGGGGCAGCAUGAACUUAGCUUGCUAAGUUUGAUGGCGACCGGCGCCCGGGUGAGUAACACGUAUCCAACCUGCCGAUGACUCGGGGAUAGCCUUUCGAAAGAAAGAUUAAUACCCGAUGGCAUAGUUCUUCCGCAUGGUAGAACUAUUAAAGAAUUUCGGUCAUCGAUGGGGAUGCGUUUCAUUAGGUUG